GAGUUUGAUCCUGGCUCAGGACGAACGCUGGCGGCGUGCCUAAUACAUGCAAGUCGAGCGAACCAAUAAGAAGCUUGCUUUUUGUUGGUUAGCGGCGGACGGGUGAGUAACACGUGGGUAACCUGCCUGUAAGACCGGGAUAACUCCGGGAAACCGGUGCUAAUAUCGGAUAGAUUAUCUUUCCGCCUGGAGAGAUAAGGAAAGAUGGCUUUUGCCAUCACUUACAGAUGGGCCCGCGGCGCAU
RNAcentral lists this ribosomal RNA (244 nucleotides) under Caldibacillus thermoamylovorans. RNAcentral's name for it is "Bacillus thermoamylovorans partial 16S ribosomal RNA". It matches the Rfam family "Bacterial small subunit ribosomal RNA", at positions 9 to 241 of the family's 1533-position model. Lineage: Bacteria; Bacillati; Bacillota; Bacilli; Caryophanales; Bacillaceae. The record is from RNAcentral.